Molecule: transfer RNA, 66 nt
Filed under: Ixodes scapularis (black-legged tick)
Lineage: Eukaryota; Metazoa; Arthropoda; Arachnida; Ixodida; Ixodidae
Rfam family: tRNA
About the family: Transfer RNA (tRNA) molecules are approximately 80 nucleotides in length. Their secondary structure includes four short double-helical elements and three loops (D, anti-codon, and T loops).
Source: Rfam by way of RNAcentral
GCAGUCGUGGUCCAGUGGUUAAGGCGAUGGACUCUUCCCGCACAGGUUCGAAUCCUGUCGAUUGCG